RNAcentral lists this transfer RNA (72 nucleotides) under Patescibacteria group bacterium. Its description in RNAcentral is "tRNA-Arg". It matches the Rfam family "tRNA". From Rfam's summary of the family: Transfer RNA (tRNA) molecules are approximately 80 nucleotides in length. Their secondary structure includes four short double-helical elements and three loops (D, anti-codon, and T loops). The record is from RNAcentral.
GCCCUCGUAGUUCAACGGAUAGAAUAGGGCCCUUCUAAGGCCUAGAUAUAGGUUCGAUUCCUAUCGAGGGCA